This 336-nucleotide unclassified non-coding RNA is filed under the name uncultured fungus. RNAcentral's name for it is "partial contains small subunit ribosomal RNA, internal transcribed spacer 1, and 5.8S ribosomal RNA". The stretch from base 1 to 73 matches the Rfam family "Eukaryotic small subunit ribosomal RNA", at positions 1759 to 1831 of the family's 1831-position model. Lineage: Eukaryota; Fungi. The record is from RNAcentral.
CCAAACUUGGUCAUUUAGAGGAAGUAAAAGUCGUAACAAGGUCUCCGUUGGUGAACCAGCGGAGGGAUCAUUAUAGAGUUCUCCAACUCCGAAACCCCUGUGAACUUACCUAUGUUGCCUCGGCGGAACGCCUCCCGCGUGACCUACCCUGUAGUGACAUACCCUGUAGUGACCUACCCGGUAGUGACCUACCCGGUAGUGACAUGCCCUGUGGGAGGUGCCCGCCGCUGGCCUUCUGAACUCUGUUUUAUCGUGGCACUUCUGAGGAUUGUUUCUAAAUGAAUUAAAACUUUCAACAACGGAUCUCUUGGUUCUGGCAUCGAUGAAGAACGCAGC